CAGCAGCCGCGGGAAUACGGAGGGGGCUAGCGUUGUUCGGAAUUACUGGGCGUAAAGCGCACGUAGGCGGCUUGGUAAGUUAGAGGUGAAAGCCUGGAGCUCAACUCCAGAAUUGCCUUUAAGACUGCCGAGCUAGUAGGUGAGAGAGGUAAGUGGAAUUCCGAGUGUAGAGGUGAAAUUCGUAGAUAUUCGGAAGAACACCAGUGGCGAAGGCGGCUUACUGGCUCAUUCUAGACGCUGAGGUGCGAAAGCGUGGGGAGCAAACAGGAUUAGAGACCCGAGUAGUCCCUGUCUCUUAUAC
This 301-nucleotide ribosomal RNA is filed under the name uncultured bacterium. RNAcentral's name for it is "partial 16S ribosomal RNA". It matches the Rfam family "Bacterial small subunit ribosomal RNA", at positions 509 to 807 of the family's 1533-position model. The record is from RNAcentral.